Arachis ipaensis is the source of this 2144-nucleotide non-coding RNA. The record is from RefSeq and is a predicted model, not a curated record. NCBI's taxonomy places the organism in Eukaryota, Viridiplantae, Streptophyta, Magnoliopsida, Fabales, Fabaceae.
UAAUUCUACCCCCACUCUUUUGAGCUCCAUUCACACUCCACUCAACUAAAACGAGCUUCUUCCUCUCUCCUUCCACGAGCUUCUUCUUUCGCCGCUGCUGCCGCCGCUUGCACGUGUCUCCUCAUCGCACGAGUUUCAGUCACAUCCAAUUCGAAUCAAUUCAACAAUGGCCGCAGUGGCUUCCCCUUCCUCCAGAAACCAGACGUCGUCCUCCUCGUGCUCCUUUUCCCACCCCUUCGCUUCAUACACCUCCGCCAAUUUCGCUCCCGGAGCCUCUCCCUCGUCCCCACGCGCUUCUCCUCCUCCUUUGGCCACCAUCGGCGUUUUUCUUCCACCGCUUCGCCACCGUGUCUAACAUCGUCAUCCGUGAGAUUCUCCUCAGAGUAACCACCAGGCUCCCCCAGAUAACACUCCACGGCUAUAAAGAGUUAGGUCAGAAUUUUGCAAAACAUACUCUUUUGGUGCGGUCGACCUCAGCUGAAAGACCGACAGUUUUGGUUCGCUCUGCGGCAGCAGUAAUACCUUUGCACUCCAUGAUGAACUGGAUAUGCUACAAGAGGAGAAUGAGGUUAUAUUAGAAAAGGUGGCGCUCUUCUGGCCUAACAAAGUUGAUUUUAAACUCAAAUUAUGUGAUAUUUAACAUAUUUGCUUGAUUAUAUUGACAGUUAAGAGUUGUAGAGAAAAAACGCCAAGAAGUGGAGGCCAGAGCUAGGGAGCUUGAUAAAUAGGUUGCUUCUCUUAGAGAAGGUGUAUCUCUAGAAACUAAACUUUUGAGCAGAUUGAAUCUAUUUGCAAUCUUUUUGCUACUCUUUUCCUAGCCAGCAUUGGAACGUUGAUUCAUGUUCAUUUUCUCUGGAACCAUGUUGACAUUCUGGUAGCAUCUGGAACUCAUGUUCAUUUUCUCUGAACCAUGUUGAUUCAUGUUCAUUUUCUCUUCUCAGUCGUGCUUCUAAUCUUCAUCUAGUUGAGGAUAAACUAUAUUUGCUGCUUCUUGGGACCACAGCUCUUAGUCUGUCUUUCAGAUUUUGAAAUGCUGUGAACAUGGCAAUAUACACAUAUAGCUGAUAAACUUGGUGCAAAGAAAUGGAUAGGACAAUAAAAAUUUCUCUGUCUUUCAAAGAGAUUGUUCUUUCAUUAAAAAGAAAGUUUGAAUUGAAUGUCAAUGUUAGACAAGCUUUGAUGUGGAAAAAAUUAUCUAUUCUUCAAUAUUGAAGUUUACCAAGAUUAAGUAUUUAAGUCUGAAAAGCGUAAAGUAUAUCAUAAGCUGCCAUCAGUUUCAAUACUUUGUAUUUAGUGAUACUGCUAUUAAUUUAUUAUGAAUGCAUAAUUCCAUCAAUAAAUUUUCAGCUAAUUUCUGCAAGUAACAACUCCUUUACUUUGCUAAUAUCUAGAAAUUAUAAUCAGAUAUUUAGUCAUAUUUUGCUACAUUUGUAAAAGUAGUUGUGUUCAUACUUGCUACUUGAAUGGUUUGGGUAAAAGAUUGGAUUUGAUAGAAUAAGAGAAUACUAAUGUGGGUGUAAAAUUAUUUUUUAAAAUGACAUCUAAUUAGGUGUUUUAUAUAGUUAAAAGCAGUUUCUUUUUGAGAUAUUUGGUGUGAAAAUGAACUGUUUUUCUUUUUUUCUUUUUUAAUUUAUCUGUAAGAUAUGAUUGGAUGUAAUAUAUAAAAAUUAAAUUAUUAUUCCCUAAUGUCAUUCAUUUUCAUAUUUUUUUGUUUUUUAUUAAAUUUUUGGAUUAAUUCUUCCCCCGCCCCUGUAUUAGUCAAGGGACAUGUAUUUUCUGCAAAAGCUUCUGAAUUUGAAAGGAGAUGAUGGUUUCAGAAUGAAUGAAGUGCUUGUGUCAUUGUGGUACAUAAUGGGUUUGUGGCCCUUAGCCAAUAGCAUGCUGCUAUUUCUUACAGGAAGGAGCUCAAAAAGCAAAGUUCCUUUUUGGCCCUUCUUUUUACUUUCAGUUUUGACGGUGCAUAUGCGCUUCUUCCUUAUUUCAUACUUUGGAAUCCACCAGCACCUCCGAUUGAAGAAACUGAGCUUAAAUCAUGGCCAUUGAUCUUUCUUGAAUCAAAAGUAACUGCAGAGAUCGGAUAUAGUAAGGUAGACAUCCUCUGCUCAGAAAGUGGGAAGUAGCGAAUAAUUUUGAUGGACCAAGAU